UCCUGGUCAACCCAGGCAGUCUCGUGUGACACUUGUAACACACAAUAGGGGUUGCGCUCGUUUCCCCACUGAAGGGAACCAUUCACAUGACGAGCUGACGACAGCCGUGCAGCACCUGUCUAGAACCCUCGAAGGCUGCUGUGUUUCCACAGCAUGCAUCUAGAUUUCUAACCCUGGUGAGGUUCCUCGGUUAGAGUCGAAUUAAACCGCAUGAUCCACUGCUUGUGCGAGCUCCCGCCUAUUUCUUUGAGUUUUAAUCUUGCGAUCGUACUUCCCAGGCGGCAGACUUAACGCGUUAGCUACGCCACCGAAAGGGUCGAUGCUCCCGAUAGCUAGUCUGCAACGUUUAGGGCGUGGAAUA
Molecule: unclassified non-coding RNA, 361 nt
Filed under: uncultured bacterium
Lineage: Bacteria
Description: contains 16S-23S intergenic spacer region
Source: RNAcentral